RNAcentral lists this long non-coding RNA (656 nucleotides) under Amphibalanus amphitrite. RNAcentral's name for it is "uncharacterized LOC122374955". The record is from RNAcentral. Lineage: Eukaryota; Metazoa; Arthropoda; Thecostraca; Balanomorpha; Balanidae.
UCGCAGUUUUAGGAGUCGGUGAUUAGGCUGGUUUUUUGGGUUACUUUUUCGCUCCGAUUCCUGUAUUUCAUAGUGUUUGGCUUUUGAAUAUUUUAGUUCUUUCAGAGAAAUAUUACUUGCCUUACAGAUUUUGUAAAAAUGUUUCAAUUUUUAUAAGCCGAACGUUAGAGUCCUAAAACAAUACAUCAGUACUACUAUUAUUGUAAACAAACAAACGGAGCACCACUUGGCUCUGUUCCAAGGCCUUUUUCGAGUUCAUCUGGAGGUUUUCGUACUCGUGUACUCGUGAGAUCAAUACUGAAGAGUACGCCGAGCAGUAUCAAGCCAGAAAAUGUUUGCUGAUGAUGAUUGCAUAUUGUCUAUUGAUGUAUUGGGAUGAAUAAUUAAUUAUAACUUAUAACAGCAAGAUUAUAACUAUGAAGCGCUGACUAUGAAGUGAAAAAAUCUAGAAUGAGCGAACUCAGGCAGCUUUACUUUGCUAUGCAGAUGGUAAUGUGCAUUACUCAAGUGUCUGGCAAAUGAAACUUUGCAUUUCUUGAAAAAGGAUUUCAGUAAAAUUGUGAAUGUGACAAGCCAUGCAACGAUAUGAUCAUAUAAUACGUGUUAAUAGUCAUUCGUGACAAUGAUCUUUGGUCCAAUAUACAAUAGCAAAGCUC